RNAcentral lists this ribosomal RNA (503 nucleotides) under uncultured bacterium. RNAcentral's name for it is "partial 16S ribosomal RNA". It matches the Rfam family "Bacterial small subunit ribosomal RNA", at positions 30 to 523 of the family's 1533-position model. The record is from RNAcentral.
AUUGAACGCUGGCGGCAGGCUUAACACAUGCAAGUCGAGCGGGGUGAUGGUGCUUGCACUAUCACUUAGCGGCGGACGGGUGAGUAAUGCUUAGGAAUCUGCCUAUUAGUGGGGGACAACAUCUCGAAAGGGAUGCUAAUACCGCAUACGUCCUACGGGAGAAAGCAGGGGAUCACUUGUGACCUUGCGCUAAUAGAUGAGCCUAAGUCGGAUUAGCUAGUUGGUGGGGUAAAGGCCUACCAAGGCGACGAUCUGUAGCGGGUCUGAGAGGAUGAUCCGCCACCCGGGGACGGCGACACGGCCCAGACCCCUGCGGGAGGCAGCAGUGGGGAAUAUUGGACAAUGGGGGGAACCCUGAUCCAGCCAUGCCGCGUGUGUGAAGAAGGCCUUAUGGUUGUAAAGUACUUUAAGCGAGGAGGAGGCUCUUUUGGUUAAUACCCAAGAUGAGUGGACGUUACUCGCAGAAUAAGCACCGGCUAACUCUGUGCCAGCAGCCGCCGCGG